UUCGACUCGAGCGCAGCGAGAGAACGUUGCGUCAGCAACGGCCCGCAGGGCGAGCUACGCAGUGGCGAGUC
This 71-nucleotide small RNA is filed under the name Salmonella enterica. RNAcentral's name for it is "RtT sRNA". It matches the Rfam family "RtT RNA", at positions 42 to 112 of the family's 130-position model. From Rfam's summary of the family: This family represents a bacterial cis-regulatory element known as RtT RNA. The exact function of RtT is unknown although it is thought that it may be involved in changing the cellular response in relation to amino acid starvation. The record is from RNAcentral. Lineage: Bacteria; Pseudomonadati; Pseudomonadota; Gammaproteobacteria; Enterobacterales; Enterobacteriaceae. RNAcentral also lists the same sequence under 1 other name.